This 306-nucleotide long non-coding RNA is filed under the name Capsella rubella. Its description in RNAcentral is "long non-coding RNA (CRUB_LNC004013)". Lineage: Eukaryota; Viridiplantae; Streptophyta; Magnoliopsida; Brassicales; Brassicaceae. The record is from RNAcentral.
UUUUUUUGUAAUUCAUUAUUCAAAACUUUGAAUUACUAAUAAUAUUUAGAUGUAUUGAGUACUGAGUUGAGUAGUGCCCGCGCCAAACAUAUAUCGUGUGUCCACACAGGAAAAGUGUACGGUCUGACAUAUACGGAUAAUAAAACAUAUUUUUGUAGUAUAAAAAUAAAACGUUAAAAAGAGACGAUCCAUAAAUAAAUUAAAAUAAAAGUAAUUUUAUUAUACCGAAAAAAAAAAAAGAAAAAAAAAAGGCCUCGUGGUCCUAGUCAGUCUUCAUGACCAAUCAUUAACAUAGUGUUAUUUUUC